UGGGGAAUAUUGCACAAUGGAGGGAACUCUGAUGCAGCGACGCCGCGUGAGUGAUGAAGGAAUUCGUUUCGUAAAACUCUGUUCUAUGGGAAGAAAAGGACUGUACCAUAGGAGAAAGCUCCGGCUAAAUACGUGCCAGCAACCGCGGUAAUACGUAUGGAGCGAGCGUUGUCCGGAAUUAUUGGGCGUAAAGGGUGCGCAGGCGGCUUUACAAGUUGGAUGUGAAAUAUUGUGGCUCAACCACAAACGUGCAUCCAAAACUGCAAAGCUUGAGUUAAGGAGAGGUAAGUGGAAUUCCUGGUGUAGCGGUGGAAUGCGUAGAUAUCAGGAGGAAUACCGGUGGCGAAGGCGACUUACUGGACUUAAACUGACGCUCAGGCACGAAAGCGUGGGGAGCAAACAGG
This 404-nucleotide ribosomal RNA is filed under the name Fusobacteriota bacterium. RNAcentral's name for it is "Fusobacteria bacterium partial 16S ribosomal RNA". It matches the Rfam family "Bacterial small subunit ribosomal RNA", at positions 355 to 776 of the family's 1533-position model. Lineage: Bacteria; Fusobacteriati; Fusobacteriota. The record is from RNAcentral.